Molecule: ribosomal RNA, 412 nt
Filed under: uncultured Alphaproteobacteria bacterium
Lineage: Bacteria; Pseudomonadati; Pseudomonadota; Alphaproteobacteria
Description: partial 16S ribosomal RNA
Rfam family: Bacterial small subunit ribosomal RNA
Source: RNAcentral
UGCAUGAUAAUGACGAGUACCUGGUAAAGAAGCCCCGGCUAACUCCGUGCCAGCAGCCGCGGUAAUACGGAGGGUGUUAGCGUUGUUCGGAAUUACUGGGCGUAAAGCGCACGUAGGCGGRUUGKUAAGUUAGAUGUGAAAUCCCAGGGCUCAACCCUGGAACKGCMUYUAAUACUSCCAGUCUAGAGUUCGAGAGAGGUGAGUGGAAUUCCGAGUGUAGAGGUGAAAUUCGUAGAUAUUCGGAGGAACACCAGUGGCGAAGGCGGCUCACUGGCUCGAUACUGACGCUGAGGURCGAAAGUGUGGGGAGCAAACAGGAUUAGAUACCUGGUAGUCCACACCGUAAACGAUGAAUGCUAGUCGUYGGGUAGCAURCUHGUCRGUGACAGCAMUAACGGAWUAAGUAGUCCGC